This 381-nucleotide ribosomal RNA is filed under the name uncultured bacterium. Its description in RNAcentral is "bacterial SSU rRNA". It matches the Rfam family "Bacterial small subunit ribosomal RNA", at positions 30 to 413 of the family's 1533-position model. The record is from RNAcentral.
AUUGAACGCUGGCGGCAUGCUUUACACAUGCAAGUCGAACGGUAACAGCACUUCGGUGGCUGACGAGUGGCGAACGGGUGAGUAAUGUAUCGGAACGUGCCCAGUAGUGGGGGAUAACUACUCGAAAGAGUAGCUAAUACCGCAUGAGAUCUCUGGAUGAAAGCGGGGGACCGUAAGGCCUCGCGCUACUGGAGCGGCCGAUAUCAGAUUAGGUUGUUGGUGAGGUAAAGGCUCACCAAGCCGACGAUCUGUAGCUGGUCUGAGAGGACGACCAGCCACACUGGGACUGAGACACGGCCCAGACUCCUACGGGAGGCAGCAGUGGGGAAUAUUGGACAAUGGGGGCAACCCUGAUCCAGCAAUACCAAAUGAGUGAAGAAG